UACGGGGGGGGCAAGCGUUGUUCGGAAUUACUGGGCGUAAAGGGCUCGUAGGCGGCCAACUAAGUCAGACGUGAAAUCCCUCGGCUUAACCGGGGAACUGCGUCUGAUACUGGAUGGCUUGAGUUUGGGAGAGGGAUGCGGAAUUCCAGGUGUAGCGGUGAAAUGCGUAGAUAUCUGGAGGAACACCGGUGGCGAAGGCGGCAUCCUGGACCAACACUGACGCUGAUGAGCGAAAGCUAGGGGAGCAAACGGG
This 253-nucleotide ribosomal RNA is filed under the name uncultured bacterium. RNAcentral's name for it is "partial 16S ribosomal RNA". It matches the Rfam family "Bacterial small subunit ribosomal RNA", at positions 524 to 776 of the family's 1533-position model. The record is from RNAcentral.